GAUGAACGCUGGCGGCGUGCCUAACACAUGCAAGUCGAACGACCGCACGCGAAUCGUGGUUCCGUGAAGUUACCAACGGGUGGGUGAGUCAUACGUAGAUACCCGAGCUAUAUGACUGAGAUAACGUAAGGAAGGCGUAGUUCAUACUAGAUCAUAUCACCAAACGGAUGGUUCUACAGUGAUCGAUCGUUUUGCGGUCCCUUUGAGAUCGAUCCGCGCUGCUUUGGAUAGUUGGCUGGGUAACGGCCUACCAAGGCAACGACGGAUAGCCGACCUGAGAGGGGGAUCGGCCACACUGGAACUGAGCCACGGUCCAGACUCCUACGGGAGGCAGCAGUGGGGAAUCUUCGGCAAUGGGCGAAAGCCUGACACAGCAACGCCGCGUGAGUGAAGAAGGCCUUCGGAUCGUAAAGCCCUGUUAGUGGGGAAGAACAUAUGUAUGAGAAUAGGAGCACAUCGUGACGGUACCUGCAGAAGAAGCACCGGCUAACUACGUG
Molecule: ribosomal RNA, 497 nt
Filed under: uncultured bacterium
Lineage: Bacteria
Description: partial 16S ribosomal RNA
Rfam family: Bacterial small subunit ribosomal RNA
Source: RNAcentral